Molecule: unclassified non-coding RNA, 224 nt
Filed under: Hevea brasiliensis (rubber tree)
Lineage: Eukaryota; Viridiplantae; Streptophyta; Magnoliopsida; Malpighiales; Euphorbiaceae
Source: RNAcentral
UCUCAUCAAUUCCUUUCUCGAUUAAUUAGAAAUUGGGAACCCAUUCAAUCUUCAAUCUUUUCUAUUGUCUUGAUUCGAUUUUCACAGAGCAAAAAUUCAUUCAGCUUCUUCAAUCAAUCGCUUGAAAGAAUACAAAUAAAAUCAAGUAAGAAUGGAUAUGGACGAAGAGGAUUUCGUGUUCUUUGGUACUCCGAUAGAGCGUGAGGAAGAGCUUACUAGCCGCG